RNAcentral lists this ribosomal RNA (460 nucleotides) under uncultured bacterium. RNAcentral's name for it is "partial 16S ribosomal RNA". It matches the Rfam family "Bacterial small subunit ribosomal RNA", at positions 338 to 795 of the family's 1533-position model. The record is from RNAcentral.
CCUACGGGAGGCUGCAGUGAGGAAUAUUGGUCAAUGGACGUAAGGCUGAACCAGCCAAGUAGCGUGAAGGAUGAAUGCCCUAUGGUUUGUAAACUUCUUUUAUAGGGGAAUAAAGGUAUCCACGUGUGGGUAUUUGUAUGUACCAUAUGAAUAAGCAUCGGCUAACUCCGUGCCAGCAGCCGCGGUAAUACGGAGGAUGCGAGCGUUAUCCGGAUUUAUUGGGUUUAAAGGGUGCGUAGGUGGUUUGUUAAGUCAGCGGUGAAAGUUUGUGGCUCAACCAUAAAAUUGCCGUUGAAACUGGAAGUCUUGAGUAUGGUAGAGGUAGGCGGAAUGCGUGGUGUAGCGGUGAAAUGCAUAGAUAUCACGCAGAACUCCGAUUGCGAAGGCAGCUUACUAAGCCAUAACUGACACUGAAGCACGAAAGUGUGGGUAUCAAACAGGAUUAGAUACCCGAGUAGUC